Molecule: ribosomal RNA, 1030 nt
Filed under: Teichospora uniseriata
Lineage: Eukaryota; Fungi; Ascomycota; Dothideomycetes; Pleosporales; Teichosporaceae
Description: eukaryotic LSU rRNA
Rfam family: Eukaryotic large subunit ribosomal RNA
Source: RNAcentral
AUAAGCGGAGGAAAAGAAACCAACAGGGAUUGCCCUAGUAACGGCGAGUGAAGCGGCAACAGCUCAAAUUUGAAAUCUGGCCCCUCUGGUGCCCGAGUUGUAAUUUGCAGAGGGUGCUUUGGUGUUGGCUGUGGUCCAAGUUCCCUGGAACAGGACGUCACAGAGGGUGAGAACCCCGUACGUGGCCGCCAGUCUUCGCCGUGUAAAGCCCCUUCGACGAGUCGAGUUGUUUGGGAAUGCAGCUCUAAAUGGGAGGUAAAUUCCUUCUAAAGCUAAAUAUUGGCCAGAGACCGAUAGCGCACAAGUAGAGUGAUCGAAAGAUGAAAAGCACUUUGGAAAGAGAGUGAAACAGCACGUGAAAUUGUUGAAAGGGAAGCGCUUGGAGCCAGACGUGCCCGUAGUUGCUCAGCCGGGGUUCUCCCCGGUGCACUCUUCUGCGGGCAGGCCAGCAUCAGUUUGGGCGGUUGGAUAAAGACCUGCUAAACGUACCACCCUCCGGGGUGGACUUAUAGGGUAGGCGGCAUACAACCAGCCUGGACUGAGGACCGCGCAUCUGCUAGGAUGCUGGCGUAAUGGCUGUAAGCGGCCCGUCUUGAAACACGGACCAAGGAGUCUAACAUCUAUGCGAGUGUUUGGGUGUCAAGCCCGAGCGCGUAAUGAAAGUGAACGCAGGUGGGAGCCCUUCGGGGCGCACCAUCGACCGAUCCUGAUGUCUUCGGAAGGAUUUGAGUAAGAGCAUAGCUGUUGGGACCCGAAAGAUGGUGAACUAUGCCUGAAUAGGGUGAAGCCAGAGGAAACUCUGGUGGAGGCUCGCAGCGGUUCUGACGUGCAAAUCGAUCGUCAAAUUUGGGCAUAGGGGCGAAAGACUAAUCGAACUAUCUAGUAGCUGGUUCCUGCCGAAGUUUCCCUCAGGAUAGCAGUAACGUUUUCAGUUUUAUGAGGUAAAGCGAAUGAUUAGAGGCAUGGGGGUUGAAACAACCUUCACCUAUUCUCAAACUUUAAAUAUGUAAGAAGUCCUUGUUACUUAAUU